AGAGUUUGAUUCUGGCUCAGAACGAACGCUGGCAGCGUGGAUUAGGCAUGCAAGUCGAACGUGAAGCCGUUGAACAAUCUUUCGGGAGAGUGAUUCGGUGGAAAGUGGCGGAAGGGUGAGUAACGCGUGGGUGAGCUGUCUCGAAGUUGGGGACAACCAGAUGAAAAUCUGGCUAAUACCGAAUGUGGUCUUCUGGCGCAUGUCAGGAUGACUAAAGGUGGGGAUUCUUCGGAACCUGCCGCUUUGAGAGGUGCCCGCGUGCCAUCAGCUUGUUGGUAGGGUAAUGGCCUACCAAGGCUUACGGCUAGCCGGCCUGAGAGGGUGAUCGGCCACACUGGGACUGAGACACUGCCCAGACUCCUACGGGAGGCUGCAGUCGAGGAUCAUUCGCAAUGCGCGAAAGCGUGACGAUGCGACGCUGCGUGGGGGAUGAAGGCCUUCGGGUCGUAAACUCCUGUCAUGAGGGAACAGUAUCCCUGUAAUUAAUAGUUGCGGGGCUCGAUGGUACCUCAAGAGGAAGCCACGGCUAACUCUGUGCCAGCAGCCGCGGUAAUACAGAGGUGGCGAGCGUUGUUCGGAUUUACUGGGCGUAAAGGGUGCGUAGGUGGUUUUGUGUGUCGGAUGUGAAAUCCCAUGGCUCAACUGUGGAAUUGCAUUCGAAACUGCGGAACUAGAGUGCAGGAUGGGAGAGCGGAAUUCUUGGUGUAGCGGUGAAAUGCGUUGAUAUCAAGAAGAACACCGGUGGCGAAGGCGGCUCUCUGGAAUGCUACUGACACUGAGGCACGAAAGCUGGGGGAGCGAACAGGAUUAGAUACCCUGGUAGUCCCAGCCGUAAACGGUGCACACUUGGUGUGGGGAGAUUUAACCCUCUCCGUGCCGGAGUUAACGCGUUAAGUGUGCCGCCUGGGGAGUACGGCCGCAAGGCUAAAACUCAAAGAAAUUGACGGGGGCCCGCACAAGCGGAGGAGCAUGUGGCUUAAUUCGAUGCAACGCGAAGAACCUUACCAGGGCUUGACAUGGGGACCCUUCGGGGGUGGUAGCGAAAGUUACCUUUACCAUCACAGGUGCUGCAUGGCUGUCGUCAGUUCGUGCCGUGAGGUGUUGGGUUAAGUCCCGUAACGAACGCAACCCUUGUGGCUAGUUGCCACCGGUGGUGAUGAGCCGCCGAGCACUCUAGCCAGACUGCCCGUACAAGCGGGAGGAAGGUGGGGAUGACGUCAAGUCAGUAUGGCCCUUACGUCCUGGGCUGCACACGUGCUACAAUGGUCGGUACAGUGGGAUGCAAUACCGCGAGGUGGAGCAAAUCCCCAAAGCCGCCCUCAGUUCGGAUUGAAGUCUGCAACUCGACUUCAUGAAGUUGGAUUCGCUAGUAACGGCGCAUCAGCUACGGCGCCGUGAAUACGUUCCCGGGCCUUGUACACACCGCCCGUCACAUCAUGAAAGCCGUCUGCACCCGAAGUCGCUGAGCCAACCAUUUAUGGAGGCAGGUGCCGAAGGUGUGGGUGGUGAUUGGGAUGAA
Molecule: ribosomal RNA, 1519 nt
Filed under: metagenome
Description: bacterial SSU rRNA
Rfam family: Bacterial small subunit ribosomal RNA
Source: RNAcentral